RNAcentral lists this small RNA (147 nucleotides) under Arabidopsis thaliana (thale cress). RNAcentral's name for it is "ATSL067020". The record is from RNAcentral. Lineage: Eukaryota; Viridiplantae; Streptophyta; Magnoliopsida; Brassicales; Brassicaceae.
ACCGGACUCACUCUAAUCCCACCACCACCAUGGCUACCAUAACUAUAACCUCCAUAGCUUUUCUUCAAUGGUGGUUUCGAAAAACCAUUAUUACUCAAAGAAGACGAAGCAGAAGAAGAAGAAGACAACGAUGAAGAUUGUUGUAAC